This 688-nucleotide long non-coding RNA is filed under the name Olea europaea (common olive). Its description in RNAcentral is "long non-coding RNA (OEUR_LNC014441)". The record is from RNAcentral. Lineage: Eukaryota; Viridiplantae; Streptophyta; Magnoliopsida; Lamiales; Oleaceae.
CUCACUUUCACAAUCAUACUCAUAUCCAUCAGUGUCAUUAUCCACUGUUCCAACAGAAGACGACGACAUAUUCGUCACUGCAUUCAUCGGAAAGUACCCAGCGGACGAGUAAUUCAAGCCCAAAGACGAUUCAAGCACAGGGAUCCGACCCGAACCCGGGACAGUUGCCGGAUCAUAAUCAUGGGUUGUAGCAAAAGACUGUGGUUGUAUAAGAGUCGAAGAAGAAGAAGGAAGGAAAAACUUCUGGAGAAAAAAGGAAAUGUCAUCGGGCUCUGCAGGUGAAGAAGAUGAAGAAGAAUUGUUGAUAGUUGCAUAUAAAUUUGCCAUUGAUGCUUGAUAUGAAUACAUACAAUUUGCUUAAACGAGAGAUGAAAAAAAGCAAUGUUCAAAAGGGAAUGUUUUUGUUUCUGGUUUCAUCUCUCUGACUCUGCCCAAGUAAUGAAGAUUCAAGUUCAACAACCCCGUUUCAACAGGCUGAGAUCACUGAUUUGAGGUGGCCUGGAGCAACAGGAUGCCAAAAAAUUGUGUGCAGGGUAAAAAUUAACAGCUUAUUAAGUUGCUUUAUUUUUGGAAACAGGUAAUUUUAGAAAUAAUAGAGGUGGUGUUGAAAAGGUUUGACUGGUCUUCUCGGAAGUGGGAACUGAAGAACGUACAGUGAACAGUGUUUUAACAUAGACAGUGUUCUUUU